AGCUUUUGAGCUAAAUAUAUUAUAAUAUUAGUUAUUUAUAUAAAGUGUUGUAAAACUUUAUUAAAAAAUAUAUUUAGGGGUGAUAGGCUAUUCAAAAACUAAGAUAUCUUGAAUCUAAUUAAAAGUAUGUAGUACAUUUAACACGACUAUUAAGUGAUUAGGCUUAAUAUAAAUAUUAACUUUUUUGAAGAAUUUUUUAAUAUAAUUUAAUAACUAACUAUUCUUACAAAUUAUUAUUUAUAUAUUUAAAUUUUAUAAGGAGUAAUUAGAUAAUUUUAAGUUUUAUUAUAUUUGUAAUAAUGUUAAUAUUAGUAUAUAUUAAUAUAUUUAUAUGAUGAACUCGGCAAAAAUGUAUUCUCAACUGUUUAUCAAAAACAUAACUAUGUGCGAUAAUACAUAGCGGUUUCUGCUCAA
This 414-nucleotide ribosomal RNA is filed under the name Mandarina sp. A AD-2005. RNAcentral describes it as "partial 16S ribosomal RNA". Lineage: Eukaryota; Metazoa; Mollusca; Gastropoda; Stylommatophora; Camaenidae. The record is from RNAcentral.